RNAcentral lists this ribosomal RNA (253 nucleotides) under uncultured bacterium. RNAcentral's name for it is "partial 16S ribosomal RNA". It matches the Rfam family "Bacterial small subunit ribosomal RNA", at positions 524 to 776 of the family's 1533-position model. The record is from RNAcentral.
GACGGAGGAGGCAAGCGUUAUCCGGAAUUAUUGGGCGUAAAGGGCUCGCAGGCGGUUUCUUAAGUCUGAUGUGAAAGCCCCCGGCUCAACCGGGGAGGGUCAUUGGAAACUGGGAAACUUGAGUGCAGAAGAGGAGAGUGGAAUUCCACGUGUAGCGGUGAAAUGCGUAGAGAUGUGGAGGAACACCAGUGGCGAAGGCGACUCUCUGGUCUGUAACUGACGCUGAGGAGCGAAAGCGUGGGGAGCGAACAGG